GCCCGGCUCCGGGUCUCGGCCCGUACGGUCCGGCCGGCAUACUGCUGGCGGGGCUGGGGCCGGAGCCGAGCCCGCGG
Molecule: microRNA precursor, 77 nt
Filed under: Macaca mulatta (Rhesus monkey)
Lineage: Eukaryota; Metazoa; Chordata; Mammalia; Primates; Cercopithecidae
Description: mir-762 microRNA precursor family
Rfam family: mir-762 microRNA precursor family
Source: Rfam by way of RNAcentral